UACAGGGGGGGCAAGCGUUGUUCGGAAUUACUGGGCGUAAAGGGUCUGUAGGUGGCCAACUAAGUCAGACGUGAAAUCCCUCAGCUUAACUGGGGAACUGCGUCUGAUACUGGAUGGCUUGAGUGUGGGAGAGGAAUGCGGAAUUCCAGGUGUAGCGGUGAAAUGCGUAGAUAUCUGGAGGAACACCGGUGGCGAAGGCGGCCAACUGGACGAAUACUGACGCUGAGACACGAAAGCGUGGGGAGCAAACAGG
This 253-nucleotide ribosomal RNA is filed under the name uncultured bacterium. RNAcentral describes it as "partial 16S ribosomal RNA". It matches the Rfam family "Bacterial small subunit ribosomal RNA", at positions 524 to 776 of the family's 1533-position model. The record is from RNAcentral.